Molecule: long non-coding RNA, 749 nt
Filed under: Elaeis guineensis (African oil palm)
Lineage: Eukaryota; Viridiplantae; Streptophyta; Magnoliopsida; Arecales; Arecaceae
Description: long non-coding RNA (EGUI_LNC075983)
Source: RNAcentral
GAUGCAAGAUUUCGUACGAUAGCAGGACUCAUUCAGAUCUUGUCAGUGAUUGAGAAUGUACUUUUUGUACACAAAUUAAAUUCAAAUUUUAUUAAUUUAAAUAAAUUUGAUAAAUCUAUAUUUAAAUAUUAAAAAUUUAAAAAAGAGAGAAUGGCAUGUGGUGACGGCUCCAUCACCAUCGCCAUCGUUAAUACUCACCAAGCAAGGAAGAACAGAGCUCAGUCCGACUGGGGUGCGGGUCUGGUGGUGCGGCACUCUGACGAUGCGGCUGGGGAAGAAGGGGGGAGGAAUGGCAUGGGUCUGGCGGUGCGGCACUCCAAUGGUGUGGCUAGGAAAGAAGGGAGGAGGCAGUGGAAGAAAGGGGAGGCAAGGCACGACCGAUCUGACGAGGGGAAGGCCAAUCCAAUGAGGCACGAUGGUGUGGAAAGAAGAGGAAAGGCCAGAAAAAAGGGGGGAGGCUAAGGCAGUGGGACGUCGGCUCUGGGAGGCUACCAACAGUGCCUGGGAAGAAGGGAGCUCAGGGAUGAGGGCUCAAGAACAGUCGAUCUGGCAUGGGGACGUCGGACCCAAAGCGAGGAUAGUGGCACGUGAGCUGGGGGGAGGAGGUUGGGGUCUCCAGUGAUGUGACAGAGAAGAAGAGAGACCAAAGGUGGGAGAAAAAAGGGGAGGUGACGGCCAAUAGAAUCGAGCCCGUCGAAAAUCUGGGAGAGGAAUUUUAGCGCAGAGUAUUAAAGAUAGCUAAAUUACAU